AAAGAAUUAGUUAAAUACAUGUAUAACAUAAAUAUGUCAAAUUUAAAUUAUUAUUUUUAUAAUAUUCUUUU
RNAcentral lists this transfer RNA (71 nucleotides) under Andraca trilochoides. RNAcentral's name for it is "tRNA-Asp". The record is from RNAcentral. Lineage: Eukaryota; Metazoa; Arthropoda; Insecta; Lepidoptera; Endromidae.